UACGGAGGGGGCGAGCGUUGUCCGAAGUUACUGGGCGUAAAGCGCGCGUAGGCGGGUUGGCAAGUCCGCUGUGAAAGCCUGAGGCUUAACCUCAGCGGGUCGGUGGAUACUGCCAGUCUUGAAGGCGUUAGGGGGAGAUGGAAUUACCGGUGUAGCGGUGAAAUGCGUAGAUAUCGGUAGGAACACCAGUGGCGAAGGCGGUCUCCUGGGACGUUCUUGACGCUGAGGCGCGAAAGCUGGGGGAGCGAACGGG
RNAcentral lists this ribosomal RNA (253 nucleotides) under uncultured bacterium. Its description in RNAcentral is "partial 16S ribosomal RNA". It matches the Rfam family "Bacterial small subunit ribosomal RNA", at positions 524 to 776 of the family's 1533-position model. The record is from RNAcentral.